RNAcentral lists this ribosomal RNA (2787 nucleotides) under Escherichia coli. Its description in RNAcentral is "bacterial LSU rRNA". It matches the Rfam family "Bacterial large subunit ribosomal RNA". Lineage: Bacteria; Pseudomonadati; Pseudomonadota; Gammaproteobacteria; Enterobacterales; Enterobacteriaceae. The record is from RNAcentral.
AGCGUACACGGUGGAUGCCCUGGCAGUCAGAGGCGAUGAAGGACGUGCUAAUCUGCGAUAAGCGUCGGUAAGGUGAUAUGAACCGUUAUAACCGGCGAUUUCCGAAUGGGGAAACCCAGUGUGUUUCGACACACUAUCAUUAACUGAAUUCAUAGGUUAAUGAGGCGAACCGGGGGAACUGAAACAUCUAAGUACCCCGAGGAAAAGAAAUCAACCGAGAUUCCCCCAGUAGCGGCGAGCGAACGGGGAGCAGCCCAGAGCCUGAAUCAGUGUGUGUGUUAGUGGAAGCGUCUGGAAAGGCGCGCGAUACAGGGUGACAGCCCCGUACACAAAAAUGCACAUGCUGUGAGCUCGAUGAGUAGGGCGGGACACGUGGUAUCCUGUCUGAAUAUGGGGGGACCAUCCUCCAAGGCUAAAUACUCCUGACUGACCGAUAGUGAACCAGUACCGUGAGGGAAAGGCGAAAAGAACCCCGGCGAGGGGAGUGAAAAAGAACCUGAAACCGUGUACGUACAAGCAGUGGGAGCCUCUUUUAUGGGGUGACUGCGUACCUUUUGUAUAAUGGGUCAGCGACUUAUAUUCUGUAGCAAGGUUAACCGAAUAGGGGAGCCGAAGGGAAACCGAGUCUUAACUGGGCGUUAAGUUGCAGGGUAUAGACCCGAAACCCGGUGAUCUAGCCAUGGGCAGGUUGAAGGUUGGGUAACACUAACUGGAGGACCGAACCGACUAAUGUUGAAAAAUUAGCGGAUGACUUGUGGCUGGGGGUGAAAGGCCAAUCAAACCGGGAGAUAGCUGGUUCUCCCCGAAAGCUAUUUAGGUAGCGCCUCGUGAAUUCAUCUCCGGGGGUAGAGCACUGUUUCGGCAAGGGGGUCAUCCCGACUUACCAACCCGAUGCAAACUGCGAAUACCGGAGAAUGUUAUCACGGGAGACACACGGCGGGUGCUAACGUCCGUCGUGAAGAGGGAAACAACCCAGACCGCCAGCUAAGGUCCCAAAGUCAUGGUUAAGUGGGAAACGAUGUGGGAAGGCCCAGACAGCCAGGAUGUUGGCUUAGAAGCAGCCAUCAUUUAAAGAAAGCGUAAUAGCUCACUGGUCGAGUCGGCCUGCGCGGAAGAUGUAACGGGGCUAAACCAUGCACCGAAGCUGCGGCAGCGACGCUUAUGCGUUGUUGGGUAGGGGAGCGUUCUGUAAGCCUGCGAAGGUGUGCUGUGAGGCAUGCUGGAGGUAUCAGAAGUGCGAAUGCUGACAUAAGUAACGAUAAAGCGGGUGAAAAGCCCGCUCGCCGGAAGACCAAGGGUUCCUGUCCAACGUUAAUCGGGGCAGGGUGAGUCGACCCCUAAGGCGAGGCCGAAAGGCGUAGUCGAUGGGAAACAGGUUAAUAUUCCUGUACUUGGUGUUACUGCGAAGGGGGGACGGAGAAGGCUAUGUUGGCCGGGCGACGGUUGUCCCGGUUUAAGCGUGUAGGCUGGUUUUCCAGGCAAAUCCGGAAAAUCAAGGCUGAGGCGUGAUGACGAGGCACUACGGUGCUGAAGCAACAAAUGCCCUGCUUCCAGGAAAAGCCUCUAAGCAUCAGGUAACAUCAAAUCGUACCCCAAACCGACACAGGUGGUCAGGUAGAGAAUACCAAGGCGCUUGAGAGAACUCGGGUGAAGGAACUAGGCAAAAUGGUGCCGUAACUUCGGGAGAAGGCACGCUGAUAUGUAGGUGAAGCGACUUGCUCGUGGAGCUGAAAUCAGUCGAAGAUACCAGCUGGCUGCAACUGUUUAUUAAAAACACAGCACUGUGCAAACACGAAAGUGGACGUAUACGGUGUGACGCCUGCCCGGUGCCGGAAGGUUAAUUGAUGGGGUUAGCGCAAGCGAAGCUCUUGAUCGAAGCCCCGGUAAACGGCGGCCGUAACUAUAACGGUCCUAAGGUAGCGAAAUUCCUUGUCGGGUAAGUUCCGACCUGCACGAAUGGCGUAAUGAUGGCCAGGCUGUCUCCACCCGAGACUCAGUGAAAUUGAACUCGCUGUGAAGAUGCAGUGUACCCGCGGCAAGACGGAAAGACCCCGUGAACCUUUACUAUAGCUUGACACUGAACAUUGAGCCUUGAUGUGUAGGAUAGGUGGGAGGCUUUGAAGUGUGGACGCCAGUCUGCAUGGAGCCGACCUUGAAAUACCACCCUUUAAUGUUUGAUGUUCUAACGUUGACCCGUAAUCCGGGUUGCGGACAGUGUCUGGUGGGUAGUUUGACUGGGGCGGUCUCCUCCUAAAGAGUAACGGAGGAGCACGAAGGUUGGCUAAUCCUGGUCGGACAUCAGGAGGUUAGUGCAAUGGCAUAAGCCAGCUUGACUGCGAGCGUGACGGCGCGAGCAGGUGCGAAAGCAGGUCAUAGUGAUCCGGUGGUUCUGAAUGGAAGGGCCAUCGCUCAACGGAUAAAAGGUACUCCGGGGAUAACAGGCUGAUACCGCCCAAGAGUUCAUAUCGACGGCGGUGUUUGGCACCUCGAUGUCGGCUCAUCACAUCCUGGGGCUGAAGUAGGUCCCAAGGGUAUGGCUGUUCGCCAUUUAAAGUGGUACGCGAGCUGGGUUUAGAACGUCGUGAGACAGUUCGGUCCCUAUCUGCCGUGGGCGCUGGAGAACUGAGGGGGGCUGCUCCUAGUACGAGAGGACCGGAGUGGACGCAUCACUGGUGUUCGGGUUGUCAUGCCAAUGGCACUGCCCGGUAGCUAAAUGCGGAAGAGAUAAGUGCUGAAAGCAUCUAAGCACGAAACUUGCCCCGAGAUGAGUUCUCCCUGACUCCUUGA